Molecule: ribosomal RNA, 484 nt
Filed under: uncultured bacterium
Lineage: Bacteria
Description: partial 16S ribosomal RNA
Rfam family: Bacterial small subunit ribosomal RNA
Source: RNAcentral
AUUGAACGCUGGCGGCAGGCCUAACACAUGCAAGUCGAGCGGAUGAAGGGUGCUUGCUCCUGGAUUCAGCGGCGGACGGGUGAGUAAUGCCUAGGAAUCUGCCUGGUAGUGGGGGAUAACGUCCGGAAACGGGCGCUAAUACCGCAUACGUCCUGAGGGAGAAAGUGGGGGAUCUUCGGACCUCACGCUAUCAGAUGAGCCUAGGUCGGAUUAGCUAGUUGGUGGGGUAAAGGCCUACCAAGGCGACGAUCCGUAACUGGUCUGAGAGGAUGAUCAGUCACACUGGAACUGGGACACGGUCCAGACUCCUACGGGAGGCAGCAGUGGGGAAUAUUGGACAAUGGGCGAAAGCCUGAUCCAGCCAUGCCGCGUGUGUGAAGAAGGUCUUCGGAUUGUAAAGCACUUUAAGUUGGGAGGAAGGGCAGUAAGUUAAUACCUUGCUGUUUUGACGUUACCAACAGAAUAAGCACCGGCUAACUUCGUG